Molecule: ribosomal RNA, 779 nt
Filed under: Bacillus amyloliquefaciens
Lineage: Bacteria; Bacillati; Bacillota; Bacilli; Caryophanales; Bacillaceae
Description: bacterial SSU rRNA
Rfam family: Bacterial small subunit ribosomal RNA
Source: RNAcentral
UCGAGCGGACAGAUGGGAGCUUGCUCCCUGAUGUUAGCGGCGGACGGGUGAGUAACACGUGGGUAACCUGCCUGUAAGACUGGGAUAACUCCGGGAAACCGGGGCUAAUACCGGAUGGUUGUUUGAACCGCAUGGUUCAGACAUAAAAGGUGGCUUCGGCUACCACUUACAGAUGGACCCGCGGCGCAUUAGCUAGUUGGUGAGGUAACGGCUCACCAAGGCGACGAUGCGUAGCCGACCUGAGAGGGUGAUCGGCCACACUGGGACUGAGACACGGCCCAGACUCCUACGGGAGGCAGCAGUAGGGAAUCUUCCGCAAUGGACGAAAGUCUGACGGAGCAACGCCGCGUGAGUGAUGAAGGUUUUCGGAUCGUAAAGCUCUGUUGUUAGGGAAGAACAAGUGCCGUUCAAAUAGGGCGGCACCUUGACGGUACCUAACCAGAAAGCCACGGCUAACUACGUGCCAGCAGCCGCGGUAAUACGUAGGUGGCAAGCGUUGUCCGGAAUUAUUGGGCGUAAAGGGCUCGCAGGCGGUUUCUUAAGUCUGAUGUGAAAGCCCCCGGCUCAACCGGGGAGGGUCAUUGGAAACUGGGGAACUUGAGUGCAGAAGAGGAGAGUGGAAUUCCACGUGUAGCGGUGAAAUGCGUAGAGAUGUGGAGGAACACCAGUGGCGAAGGCGACUCUCUGGUCUGUAACUGACGCUGAGGAGCGAAAGCGUGGGGAGCGAACAGGAUUAGAUACCCUGGUAGUCCACGCCGUAAACGAUGAGUGCUAAGUGG